RNAcentral lists this ribosomal RNA (709 nucleotides) under uncultured Serratia sp. RNAcentral's name for it is "bacterial SSU rRNA". It matches the Rfam family "Bacterial small subunit ribosomal RNA", at positions 768 to 1477 of the family's 1533-position model. The record is from RNAcentral. Lineage: Bacteria; Pseudomonadati; Pseudomonadota; Gammaproteobacteria; Enterobacterales; Yersiniaceae.
GCGAACGGGAUUAGAUACCCUGGUAGUCCACGCCGUAAACGAUGUCGACUUGGAGGUUGUUCCCUUGAGGAGUGGCUUCCGGAGCUAACGCGUUAAGUCGACCGCCUGGGGAGUACGGCCGCAAGGUUAAAACUCAAAUGAAUUGACGGGGGCCCGCACAAGCGGUGGAGCAUGUGGUUUAAUUCGAUGCAACGCGAAGAACCUUACCUACUCUUGACAUCCAGAGAACUUAGCAGAGAUGCUUUGGUGCCUUCGGGAACUCUGAGACAGGUGCUGCAUGGCUGUCGUCAGCUCGUGUUGUGAAAUGUUGGGUUAAGUCCCGCAACGAGCGCAACCCUUAUCCUUUGUUGCCAGCGGUUAGGCCGGGAACUCAAAGGAGACUGCCAGUGAUAAACUGGAGGAAGGUGGGGAUGACGUCAAGUCAUCAUGGCCCUUACGAGUAGGGCUACACACGUGCUACAAUGGCGCAUACAAAGAGAAGCGACCUCGCGAGAGCAAGCGGACCUCAUAAAGUGCGUCGUAGUCCGGAUUGGAGUCUGCAACUCGACUCCAUGAAGUCGGAAUCGCUAGUAAUCGUAGAUCAGAAUGCUACGGUGAAUACGUUCCCGGGCCUUGUACACACCGCCCGUCACACCAUGGGAGUGGGUUGCAAAAGAAGUAGGUAGCUUAACCUUCGGGAGGGCGCUUACCACUUUGUGAUUCAUGACUG